AGUGGCGAACGGGUGAGUAACACGUGGGUGAUCUGCCCUGCACCUCGGGAUAAGCCUGGGAAACUGGGUCUAAUACCGGAUAGGAGCCAUUUUUAGUGUGAUGGUUGGAAAGUUUUUUCGGUGUAGGAUGAGCUCGCGGCCUAUCAGCUUGUUGGUGGGGUAAUGGCCUACCAAGGCGGCGACGGGUAGCCGGCCUGAGAGGGUGGACGGCCACAUUGGGACUGAGAUACGGCCCAGACUCCUACGGGAGGCAGCAGUGGGGAAUAUUGCACGAUGGGCGCAAGCCUGAUGCAGCGACGCCGCGUGGGGGAUGACGGCCUUCGGGUUGUAAACUCCUUUCGCUAGGGACGAAGCUUUUUGUGACGGUACCUAGAUAAGAAGCACCGGCUAACUACGUGCCAGCAGCCGCGGUAAUACGUAGGGUGCGAGCGUUGUCCGGAAUUACUGGGCGUAAAGGGCUCGUAGGUGGUUUGUCGCGUCGUCUGUGAAAUUCCGGGGCUUAACUCCGGGCGUGCAGGCGAUACGGGCAUAACUUGAGUACUGUAGGGGUAACUGGAAUUCCUGGUGUAGCGGUGAAAUGCGCAGAUAUCAGGAGGAACACCGAUGGCGAAGGCAGGUUACUGGGCAGUUACUGACGCUGAGGAGCGAAAGC
This 652-nucleotide ribosomal RNA is filed under the name uncultured Actinomycetales bacterium. Its description in RNAcentral is "bacterial SSU rRNA". It matches the Rfam family "Bacterial small subunit ribosomal RNA", at positions 94 to 760 of the family's 1533-position model. The record is from RNAcentral. Lineage: Bacteria; Bacillati; Actinomycetota; Actinomycetes; Actinomycetales.